Molecule: transfer RNA, 77 nt
Filed under: Erysipelotrichaceae bacterium MTC7
Lineage: Bacteria; Bacillati; Bacillota; Erysipelotrichia; Erysipelotrichales; Erysipelotrichaceae
Description: tRNA-Met
Rfam family: tRNA
About the family: Transfer RNA (tRNA) molecules are approximately 80 nucleotides in length.
Source: RNAcentral
GGACCCUUAGCUCAGUUGGUUAGAGCAUCCGGCUCAUAACCGGUGGGUCACAGGUUCGAGUCCUGUAGGGUCCACCA